UGGGGAAUAUUGCACAAUGGAGGGAACUCUGAUGCAGCGACGCCGCGUGAACGAAGAAGGCUUUCGAGUCGUAAAGUUCUUUUAUAUGGGAAGAUAAUGACGGUACCAUAAGAAAAAGCCCCGGCUAACUACGUGCCAGCAGCCGCGAUAAUACGUAGGGGGCUAGCGUUGUCCGGAAUCACUGGGCGUAAAGGGUUCGCAGGCGGAAAUGCAAGUAAGGUGUAAAAGGCAGUAGCUUAACUACUGUAAGCAUUUGAAACUGCAUAUCUUGAGAAGAGUAGAGGUAAGUGGAAUUUUUAGUGUAGCGGUGAAAUGCGUAGAUAUUAAAAAGAAUACCGGUGGCGAAGGCGACUUACUGGGCUCAUUCUGACGCUGAGGAACGAAAGCGUGGGUAGCAAACAGG
This 403-nucleotide ribosomal RNA is filed under the name Fusobacteriota bacterium. RNAcentral describes it as "Fusobacteria bacterium partial 16S ribosomal RNA". It matches the Rfam family "Bacterial small subunit ribosomal RNA", at positions 355 to 776 of the family's 1533-position model. Lineage: Bacteria; Fusobacteriati; Fusobacteriota. The record is from RNAcentral.